RNAcentral lists this ribosomal RNA (495 nucleotides) under Triticum aestivum (bread wheat). RNAcentral's name for it is "partial small subunit ribosomal RNA". The record is from RNAcentral. Lineage: Eukaryota; Viridiplantae; Streptophyta; Magnoliopsida; Poales; Poaceae.
AUGUUCUGCUUCCCAAUUGCAGACAAGAAAAAGAGAGCAUCAUGGACCAGUGCUCAACAAGACCUGCUCGUUUCUGUGAUGAAAGAGUAUGCAUAUCCAGCUAGAUUUCGCGGUCGGAAUGGAUGGACCAAAGAAGGAUGGAAUAGCAUAACUACACGAUUGAAUAAUCAGUUUCCGAGAGCUAAUUUCAUUGUUUGUCAACUAAAAUUUAGAGAGCAGCGGUUGAAGAAAGAAUAUUUUGUUGUCAAAUCUAUUGUAGAGAAGAGUGGCUUCGGUUUUGAUCCUAUUACAAAAAUGCCAACAACCAUUGAUGAAAAAUGGGAUGAAUUGAGCAAAGAACAACAGAAGUGGAGAUACAAAGCUUUCCCUUACUACGAUGAUUUGCAUGCAAUUUAUGAUGCGGAGGGGAAGGGUUGUAAGAGGACAACUGAUGUGGUCGAAGAGAAGUCCAGUCCGGCUACAGAUUUACCACAAGGGGAAAGCUUCACACAAUAG